UGGGGCUCUUAUUUCUUGUUGUGUUGGGCAUUAGCUGGGCCUGUGAUGCUAGACAAUUGCAGACCUCUGAUUUGUCUAGUAAGAGCAUUGGGUUCUCUGAUUUUUCAGGUAAUUCUUUCAACUAAUUCCAAUGGUGUUACUUUAUUUUCUUCUAUAAGAAUUUGUUCUGAAUAUCAUUGCCUAACUUGAUAAUGUUGUCCUACACAGUUCAUAUCCUCUUGUCCGAUGUAUAUGACAUAAAAGUAGUUUUGGCUUUCUUUUAAAAAUUCAGGAUUUUGAUAGGUUGGCACAAUUUUUAAUACCAUUUUGAGACCUGGAGAUGCAAUCCUUGACUUUUUCUUGCGACAUGAGACAAUUAGGGGGAUCGUGCACAUUCUCUGUGCUUCUCCUUAUUCCCCUGUCUUCAUGACCUCUUUUUCUGACUGAAAGAUUGUGGGGUGGGAACCAUAUACGCCAGUACUCAUUUUGGUCCUGGUACAUGGGUGACAGAACAGAUUCUCAAGUAUAGAGGCUAUAUUUCCUGCAUUCUAAGUUGUUUGUUGACCUGUCCAAAUAUUCUACUUCAUAAAGUGCAUGUUAUCAUCAGGAUUGGUUGAAACCCAGCAUAUUACCUUAAACAGUUGUAUGCACAUUUUUUGAAAUGAGAACCGUAUUCCAAAAUGUAUUCAUGCAGAUCUUUGAGCUUAUAAUGUUCCAUUAGGAAUUUAGGACCCUAAUGUGCACUCUUAUAUGGUUGGAGGGGCAAUGCAUUUUUUAAUAUUGUAAUUCAAGCUAAAGCACCUGCUAUGCUGGAAGCCAAAAUAAUAAAAUGUGCUUUCCUGUUUCAGUUGUGCUGAUGAAUUCCCUACCAAAAGAAGGGGAAGCUCUAGCUUUGGAACCAGAUGACGGGAAUGAAAAUGUAUGCACCAUGUGCGAGAGGCUUAUUACUGAGGCGCUUGAUCUCCUUGCUGAAAACAGGACCCAGAAAUUGAUCAUUGAAAUGCUUCAUGCUACGUGCUCUGAAGUUCAGUCUUUUAAGCAGCAGGUAGUUACUUCCUGUAAGCAGAGUUGAGUUUGUUGUUUAAGCUGUGUAAUUUCUGUCAGUGACAGAAUUACUUAUUCUUUUACUUCC
This 1111-nucleotide long non-coding RNA is filed under the name Vitis vinifera (wine grape). Its description in RNAcentral is "long non-coding RNA (VVIN_LNC002489)". Lineage: Eukaryota; Viridiplantae; Streptophyta; Magnoliopsida; Vitales; Vitaceae. The record is from RNAcentral.